GAGCUGGGUUAAUGUGCCCCUCACCUUUACAAGGUUUUCGCCGGAAAAAUGUCGUCGUCUACGGAAAAAUCCAGUAACGACUACGAGGUCGGGCACCGAGCCGAGUUGGAAGGAAAAGGCGCUUCAUCUGCGGGUGGCAGCACGGAGGAAGCUACGGAAGCUACGAAAACCCUAAUCGAAAUGCAAAAGGAGGCAUUACAAUGGCGAGACCAGAAAAGGAGGACGACAAUGGCUGGUCGUACCAACGAACCCCCC
Asparagus officinalis (garden asparagus) is the source of this 255-nucleotide long non-coding RNA. RefSeq lists it as uncharacterized. The record is from RefSeq and is a predicted model, not a curated record. The transcript is spliced from 2 exons. Lineage: Eukaryota; Viridiplantae; Streptophyta; Magnoliopsida; Asparagales; Asparagaceae.